This 504-nucleotide ribosomal RNA is filed under the name uncultured bacterium. RNAcentral describes it as "partial 16S ribosomal RNA". It matches the Rfam family "Bacterial small subunit ribosomal RNA", at positions 30 to 523 of the family's 1533-position model. The record is from RNAcentral.
AUUGAACGCUGGCGGCAGGCCUAACACAUGCAAGUCGAACGGUAGCACAGAGAGCUUGCUCUCGGGUGACGAGUGGCGGACGGGUGAGUAACGUCUGGGAAACUGCCCGAUGGAGGGGGAUAACUACUGGAAACGGUAGCUAAUACCGCAUAACGUCGCAAGACCAAAGUGGGGGACCUUCGGGCCUCACACCAUCGGAUGUGCCCAGAUGGGAUUAGCUAGUAGGUGGGGUAAUGGCUCACCUAGGCGACGAUCCUUAGCUGGUCUGAGAGGAAGACCAGGCACACUGGAACUGAGACACGGUCCAGACUCCUACGGGAGGCAGCAGUGGGGAAUAUUGCACAAUGGGCGCAAGCCUGAUGCAGCCAUGCCGCGUGUAUGAAGAAGGCCUUCGGGUUGUAAAGUACUUUCAGCGGGGAGGAAGGCGGUGAAGUUAAUAACUUCACCGAUUGACGUUACCCGCAGAAGAAGCACCGGCUAACUCCGUGCCAGCCGCCGCGGUAA